This is a non-coding RNA of Macaca mulatta (Rhesus monkey), 1164 nucleotides long. NCBI's taxonomy places the organism in Eukaryota, Metazoa, Chordata, Mammalia, Primates, Cercopithecidae. The record is from RefSeq and is a predicted model, not a curated record.
UCUCAUUGUGAUUUGGCUUCUCAUAUAUGUCUGCCUACUAGGGGAUAAUGCACUUCUAUAAGCUUUGACUAUGACAUCUCUUGGUGAAUAAAUAGCUCCUGAAUACCAUUGAGUUUCCUAUUUUUGUUUAUUAUCUAGAGAAAAAUGAGCUUGUUUUGAGUUCGUUUAGUUAGCCUGGACAGUCUCACAAGAUGUGACUAUUCCCGGACACUGGCUAACACAGGAACUCUCUGGGCCUUCAAAGUGGAGACCAGAGCCUAGAAAGUGUCAAACUAAUUGACAUAUGACUCAACAAGUUCCUGCCCAACUAUCUACCGUUCACCUUCUCUGGCCUGACCUAGACUUUGGGGGUCACUCCUUUCGGGACUACACUCACUAACCUCAGGAUUGCAGCUGGAGUCCACCAGUGAGAGGCACUAGCAGGAGAUGAGAUUAGGGUCUUUCUUCUCCUUGACUCACCCUGCAGGGUCAUAAUGGGCCAGUGCUCAUCAUUUUUAACCAUUCUGCAGCUUGUGAAAAUCUUCCCGCUUCCAGGACACCAUUCUAACAGGCAUGUUUGUGACCACUUGAAGGUUCCUUUUCAGCUCAUGCUGUUGUUCUUGAUCUCCUGCAGUGCACAUACCUCCAACCAGACAAGUAUGGAAAUCACACAUCAACAAGUAAAGUGAAUGGGGAAAGUCAACAAGAGAAAUAUGCAAAAAGUCAUGGCCGCACAGAGAAGGAGGCCACCAGCUCCAGUUGUCACAAAGGGCUUCACAGAGGACGCCUGAUGGGAAACACAUCGCAGGAAAGUUCCAUGCUGCCAAACGGUAAGAAAAGUUUAAUUUCAUCCUCAAAAGAGACUGAAAGCAGUUACAAAGCUUAGAAGCCAAGGUGCCACAUGAGGGUUGCAGACAUAUGAACAACUGCAAAAGCCAUUAUUUCACUAGGUUUAUGUAAAAAGACAACCCAAGAGCUUCAGUAAGGCACAAAGAAAACCAGCUCCAGAUAAUGCUUUGAAACCAUCUUUUAAAUGAACUGUCUUGGUGUCCUAUAGUUCAUCAAAGGUUUCCUGUCUCCAAAAGGUCAACAUUGUAUACCUUACCCUUUCUAAAUCUCAGAAUAUCUUUUCAGCUCCUCAUUUCAGAAAGGUGAGCAGGUGUCUCUCAGUCCUAACAAUCAUGA